RNAcentral lists this ribosomal RNA (456 nucleotides) under uncultured bacterium. RNAcentral describes it as "bacterial SSU rRNA". It matches the Rfam family "Bacterial small subunit ribosomal RNA", at positions 28 to 507 of the family's 1533-position model. The record is from RNAcentral.
GAUGAACGCUAGCUACAGGCUUAACACAUGCAAGUCGAGGGGUCUGCUUCGGCAGACGACCGGCGCACGGGUGAGUAACGCGUAUCCAACCUGCCCUUCUCAUUGGGAUAGCCUUUCGAAAGAGAGAUUAAUACCGAAUAACAUAGUAACGUUGCAUGAUUUUACUAUGAAAGCUCCGGCGGAGAAGGAUGGGGAUGCGUGACAUUAGGUAGAUGGCGGGGUAACGGCCCACCAUGCCCACGAUGUCUAGGGGUUCUGAGAGGAAGGUCCCCCACAUUGGGACUGAGAUACGGCCCAGACUCCUACGGGAGGCAGCAGUGGGGAAUAUUGGGCAAUGGGGGAAACCCUGACCCAGCAACGCCGCGUGAAGGAAGAAGGCCUUCGGGUUGUAAACUUCUUUUAGCAGGGACGAAGGACGUGACGGUACCUGCAGAAAAAGCAACGGCUAACUACGUG